UGACAGGCCUUGCUUCUCCUCUCUGCAGCUGCUUCGUGUGGCUUUGCUCCCGGAGCUCUUGAGUUGGGCCAUCCGAGGUCACCUCUGGGCGCCUCCUGAGGCCUAUUUCCUCUUUGGAACAAGGUGGCGAAAAGCUCCAGCCGGAAUUAUGAGUAGCAGCAAAGCCAUCUAUAUCCGGACUCCAACAGGUGGGAAAAUCAAGCCUCUAUCAAGAAAGCACCAAGCUAGAAAAUUUCGGAAAUUACGCUUGCGGGCAAAAAGGGCUGGAGCCCAGGCUUCUGAUUCAGCAGCGCUUCCAAGCAACCCUGCGGCUCCCUCAGGUGGCCGGAAGGUAUGCCUUCAACCUCUGGGCUUCUAUCUGAAAAAACCCAAAAACUUUUCCAGUCAAUUUUGUGCCCUGAUAGAGACCCUGCUGAAAGGACAGUGGCCUGAUCUAUUGGGACUAAUGGACAUAGCCUGGGACUGACCAAAGACUGCCAGGAGGAAAAAGUUAAGCUGAUGUAGUAAUUCCCAAUAACAGGCCCUGUCCUAGUGUCAUUAUUUAGUAUCUAUAGUUACAUUAACUCUAAUUAUUUCAUUAUAUAUUAAAUGUCAUGAUAAACUCUU
Long non-coding RNA from Psammomys obesus (fat sand rat), 606 nucleotides. RefSeq lists it as uncharacterized. NCBI's taxonomy places the organism in Eukaryota, Metazoa, Chordata, Mammalia, Rodentia, Muridae. The record is from RefSeq and is a predicted model, not a curated record. The transcript is spliced from 2 exons.